AAAGUUGAUAGAGGCGCGGUGCGGAUGAGUAGCCGGCGGGAGGGGACACCCUGGGAACCCGGCAAAAGGCCAAACCGCCGAAACGGCUGGGCGGGUGCGCCCCGCCGUUGGGCAGGGGAAGAAGAUCUCCCUGACUCCUGUUUUUUAACAGAGGCGCUAUCGGUGAU
This 167-nucleotide non-coding RNA is filed under the name Clostridium sp. Its description in RNAcentral is "Lysine sequence". It matches the Rfam family "Lysine riboswitch aptamer". From Rfam's summary of the family: Riboswitches are metabolite binding domains within certain messenger RNAs that serve as precision sensors for their corresponding targets. Allosteric rearrangement of mRNA structure is mediated by ligand binding, and this results in modulation of gene expression. This family includes riboswitches that sense lysine in a number of genes involved in lysine metabolism, including lysC. The record is from RNAcentral. Lineage: Bacteria; Bacillati; Bacillota; Clostridia; Eubacteriales; Clostridiaceae.